GUACGGGAGGCAGCAAUUAGGAAUCUUGCGCAAUGGGGGAAACCCUGACGCAGCGACGCCGCGUGAAGGAUGACGGCCUUCGGGUUGUAAACUUCUUUUAAGAGGGAAGAAGAAAGUGACGGUACCUCUUGAAUAAGCCCCGGCUAACUACGUGCCAGCAGCCGCGGUAAUACGUAGGGGGCGAGCGUUGUCCGAAGUUACUGGGCGUAAAGAGCGCGUAGGCGGGCUAUUAAGUUGGAUGUGAAAUCUCCGGGCUCAACCCGGAAACCGCAUCCAAAACUGGCAGCCUUGAGGUAUGGAGAGGGAAGUGGAAUUCCUGGUGUAGCGGUGAAAUGCGUAGAUAUCAGGAGGAACACCCGUGGCGAAGGCGGCUUCCUGGUCAUAUCCUGACGCUGAGGCGCGAAAGCUAGGGGAGCGAACGGGAUUAGAUACCCCGGUAGC
RNAcentral lists this ribosomal RNA (441 nucleotides) under uncultured bacterium. RNAcentral describes it as "bacterial SSU rRNA". It matches the Rfam family "Bacterial small subunit ribosomal RNA", at positions 339 to 794 of the family's 1533-position model. The record is from RNAcentral.